This 253-nucleotide ribosomal RNA is filed under the name uncultured bacterium. RNAcentral describes it as "partial 16S ribosomal RNA". It matches the Rfam family "Bacterial small subunit ribosomal RNA", at positions 524 to 776 of the family's 1533-position model. The record is from RNAcentral.
UACGGAGGAUCCGAGCGUUAUCCGGAUUUACUGGGUUUAAAGGGUGCGUAGGCGGGCGCCUAAGUCAGCGGUGAAAGGCAGCGGCUCAACCGUUGAACUGCCGUUGAAACUGGGCGCCUUGGAUUCGGUCGGGGCCGGCGGAAUGCGUGGUGUAGCGGUGAAAUGCUUAGAUAUCACGCGGAACGCCGAUCGCGAAGGCAGCUGGCCAGGCCGAGAUCGACGCUGAGGCACGAAAGCGUGGGGAUCAAACAGG